UUUAUUUUAAAGAAAAAAAACAAGUGAUGUGGAAAAUAUAAGGAUGUGUAAGGAUGUUUGUAUGGUUGGAGAAGAAAUUGGAAGGUUUUAAGGAUUUCUGACUAGGCAGCUAAGGACGCCUUAGGGCACCCUUAGCAUUGGAGAUAGUCUAAGUAAUAGGAUCAAAAUGGUGAAAAGAAAGAAAACUCAGGAAGUCAUAGAAAAGAAAAUUAUUUAAACUAAAAUGAAAAUUUGAAACUUAGACACUAAAAUGAGAAUUUACUCUUUAGAAAAUUUCCCUUAAAUGAACCUUUAGGCCCCAGGCCCAUAAAACCCAUACGAUAUUAGAUUACACAAGCCCAUAAACCCAACCGGUCUACUAAAACCCUAACCCUAAUCACACUCCUUUUGCACAUCCAACCCUAUAUAUCCAUCCACCACACCGCCAUUGCAUCAUCAUUCAACACUCUUCUUUCUAUCUUCUCUGAUUUCAUUUCUUCAUCCAAUUGGUAAUCACUUCUUCAUUUUCCUCUUCUGUGUUCAUUUCCUUUCGAAAUUAUU
RNAcentral lists this long non-coding RNA (540 nucleotides) under Helianthus annuus (common sunflower). Its description in RNAcentral is "hypothetical non coding rna". Lineage: Eukaryota; Viridiplantae; Streptophyta; Magnoliopsida; Asterales; Asteraceae. The record is from RNAcentral.